GCCUCUGCGCCGCCUUCCUCCCGGGAGCAGCCCGGACGCGCGCGGGCCCAGACCGCCAGGGUUGUCAUGGCAGCAGCUCCAUCCCUGACCGUUACUUUCUCCCAGUGCCGACUCGGAGCUAGCAGGCGGGCAGGCAGCUCUGACUGUGCGCUCAUCCCGACCCCGGUGCAGGGCGAGGGGCGCAGGCGCCCACCAAGUCCCGCUGCGCCCACCAAAUCUGGGAAUCCCUGCGGGGAUGAGUCUGGCCCCUCACAGGGCGCCACUCUCCCCCUGAUAGCUGAGCAAGCCAAGAGAACGUCGCGCCCCUUUCAGUGGCUCCCCAGGAAUCAAAGCGGGGAUGGGGGGUAGCUGAACCAGGCUGCCUGGUCCACCACUCUGCCGCUGGAUUGCACCUAAUCAAGCUACAGUUCUAUGGCUUUCCUGGGCCUAUGCAGAAAGCCAGAAUGAGAAGCUUCCUACUAUGAUGACCUACCUCAGAGACCUUUAUGCCCUUACACUUGAUGUUUAUCGCUCAAGUGGGCAAGUGUGCAUUUCUUCUUACAACACAAUAUGCAAAGUUG
Non-coding RNA from Ictidomys tridecemlineatus (thirteen-lined ground squirrel), 560 nucleotides. The record is from RefSeq and is a predicted model, not a curated record. NCBI's taxonomy places the organism in Eukaryota, Metazoa, Chordata, Mammalia, Rodentia, Sciuridae.